This 458-nucleotide ribosomal RNA is filed under the name Nesterenkonia sp. VB99. RNAcentral describes it as "bacterial SSU rRNA". It matches the Rfam family "Bacterial small subunit ribosomal RNA", at positions 19 to 469 of the family's 1533-position model. The record is from RNAcentral. Lineage: Bacteria; Bacillati; Actinomycetota; Actinomycetes; Micrococcales; Micrococcaceae.
CUGGCUCAGGAUGAACGCGGCGGCGUGCUUAACACAUGCAAGUCGAACGAUGAAGCCCGGUGCUUGCACCGGGUGGAUUAGUGGCGAACGGGUGAGUAUCACGUGAGUAACCUGCCCUUGACUCUGGGAUAAGCCUGGGAAACUGGGUCUAAUACCGGAUACGACCAGUCACCGCAUGGUGUGCUGGUGGAAAGCUUUAGCGGUUUUGGAUGGACUCGCGGCCUAUCAGCUAGACGGUGAGGUAAUGGCUCACCGUGGCGAUGACGGGUAGCCGGCCUGAGAGGGUGACCGGCCACACUGGGACUGAGACACGGCCCAGACUCCUACGGGAGGCAGCAGUGGGGAAUAUUGCACAAUGGGCGAAAGCCUGAUGCAGCGACGCCGCGUGUGGGAUGACGGCCUUCGGGUUGUAAACCACUUUCAGCAGGGAAGAAGCUUUUUGUGACGGACCUCAAAGA